CCUACGGGUGGCAGCAGUGAGGAAUAUUGGUCAAUGGGCGGGAGCCUGAACCAGCCAAGUAGCGUGAAGGAUGACGGCCCUACGGGUUGUAAACUGCUUUUAUAAAGGAAUAAAGUGAGGUACGUGUGCGGUUUUGCAUGUACCGUAUGAAUAAGGACCGGCUAACUCCGUGCCAGCAGCCGCGGUAAUACGGAGGUUCCGAGCGUUAUCCGGAUUUAGUGGGUUUAAAGGGAGCGUAGGGGGGUUGUUAAGUCAGUUGUGAAAGCUCGCGGCUCAACCGUAAACUUGCAGUUGAUACUGGCAUCCUUGAGUACAGUUGAGGUAGGCGGAAUUCGUGGUGUAGCGGUGA
Molecule: ribosomal RNA, 349 nt
Filed under: uncultured bacterium
Lineage: Bacteria
Description: partial 16S ribosomal RNA
Rfam family: Bacterial small subunit ribosomal RNA
Source: RNAcentral